Molecule: RNA transcript, 4039 nt
Organism: Pan troglodytes (chimpanzee)
Lineage: Eukaryota; Metazoa; Chordata; Mammalia; Primates; Hominidae
Gene: CATSPERG
Gene name: cation channel sperm associated auxiliary subunit gamma
Exons: 29
Source: RefSeq, a predicted model, not a curated record
AAGGGCGAAGGGCGGGGCGGGGCAGGAGAGUCAGGGUAUAGAGCAGGCAGGUGUUAAUGGCAUGGGAAGGAAGAGUACGAAGUGGGGCAAGAAGGUGUCGCGGUACGAGGGGAAGGUGAGACUCAAGAAGGUGCCGGCUAAGAAGCUGGUGCCGGCGUGGAAGGAGAAGGUGUGGGGCGAGGAAACAACGAAGGGCGAGGAAAGAUCCCGAGGCGAAGAGACAGUCUUCCUCGAGAAGGGGCAGGGCGAGGAGGAGGGGCGUUACCAGAGGGCGGGACGGGGCGAGGGGCCCGCGCGGGAAGAACCAAUCGCCGAGAACCCGGGGAAGGAACGGGUCCAUAAAGACCAGGUGGAGGAGUAUGGGCGCGGUCAGGAGCGGAAGCAGAGUUCUAGCCACGUUAUGUGCGGCCCAGCCAUGUUCCCUGCCGGUCCUCCGUGGCCCAGAGUCCGAGUCGUGCAGGUGCUGUGGGCCCUGCUGGCAGUGCUCCUGGCGUCGUGGAGGCUGUGGGCGAUCAAGGAUUUCCAGGAAUGCACCUGGCAGGUUGUCCUGAACGAGUUUAAGAGGGUAGGCGAGAGUGGUGUGAGCGACAGCUUCUUUGAGCAAGAGCCCGUGGACACAGUGAGCAGCUUGUUUCACAUGCUGGUGGACUCACCCAUCGACCCGAGCGAGAAAUACCUGGGCUUCCCUUACUACCUGAAGAUCAACUACUCCUGCGAGGAAAAGCCCUCUGAGGACCUGGUGCGCAUGGGCCACCUGACAGGGCUAAAGCCCCUGGUGCUGGUCACCUUCCAGUCCCCAGUCAACUUCUACCGCUGGAAGAUAGAGCAGCUGCAGAUCCAGAUGGAGGCUGCCCCCUUCCGCAGCAAAGAGCCAUGCAUGGCAGAGGAAGUGUGUAGCAUGAGCUGGUACACGCCCAUGCCCAUCAAGAAAGGCAGUGUGGUCAUGCGUGUGGACAUCAGCAGCAAUGGCCUGGGGACCUUCAUUCCAGAUAAAAGGUUCCAGAUGAAUAUCAACGGCUUCCUGAAGAGAGACCGGGACAAUAACAUCCAAUUCACUGUGGGAGAGAAGCUCUUCAACCUGAUGCCCCAGUACUUUGUGGGUGUCUCAUCGAGGCCCUUGUGGCACACUGUGGACCAGUCACCUGUGCUUAUCCUGGGAGGCAUUCCCAAUGAGAAGUACGUCCUGAUGACUGACACCAGCUUCAAGGACUUCUCUCUCGUGGAGCUGAGCAUUGACAGUUGCUGGGUGGGCUCCUUCUACUGCCCCCAUUCUGGCUUCACAGCCACCAUCUAUGACACUAUUGCCACCGAGAGCACCCUCUUCAUUCGGCAGAACCAGCUGGUCUACUAUUUUACAGGCACCUAUACCACACUCUAUGAGAGAAACCGCGGCAGUGGCAGUUGGGUUCGUGUCCUGGCCAGCGAGUGCAUCAAGAAGCUGUGCCCUGUGUAUUUCCAUAGCAAUGGCUCUGAGUACAUAAUGGCCCUCACCACAGGCAAGCAUGAGGGUUAUGUACACUUCGGGACCAUCAGAGAUGGCCAGGUGUCCUUUGAGAUGCUGCCCAGGCAGUGGUCUGUGUGCGAGCAGAUAGGAGUUACCACCUGCUCCAUAAUUUGGUCUGAAUACAUCGCGGGUGAGUAUACCCUACUGCUGCUGGUGGAGAGUGGAUAUGGUAAUGCCAGUAAACGUUUCCAGGUGGUCAGCUACAACACAGCUAGUGAUGACCUGGAACUUCUCUACCACAUCCCAGAAUUCAUCCCUGAAGCUCGAGGAUUGGAGUUCCUGAUGAUCCUAGGGACAGAGUCCUACACCAGCACUGCAAUGGCCCCCAAGGGCAUCUUCUGUAACCCGUACAACAACCUGAUCUUCAUCUGGGGCAACUUCCUCCUGCAGAGCUCUAACAAGGAAAACUUCAUCUACCUGGCAGACUUCCCCAAGGAACUGUCCAUCAAAUACAUGGCCAGAUCGUUCCAUGGGGCUGUGGCUAUUGUCACAGAGACGGAGGAGAUCUGGUACCUCCUGGAGGGCAGCUACCGGGUCUACCAGCUGUUCCCUUCCAAGGGCUGGCAGGUGCACAUCAGCUUAAAGCUGAUGCAACAGUCCUCUCUCUACGCAUCCAAUGAGACCAUGCUGACCCUCUUCUACGAAGACAGCAAACUGUACCAGCUGGUGUACCUUAUGAACAACCAGAAGGGCCAGCUGGUCAAGAGGCUCGUGCCCGUGGAGCAGCUUCUGAUGUAUCAACAGCACACCAGCCACUAUGACUUGGAGCGGAAAGGGGGCUACUUGAUGCUCUCCUUCAUCGACUUCUGCCCCUUCUCGGUGAUGCGCCUGCGGAGCCUGCCCCGUCCGCAGAGAUACACGCGCCAGGAGCGCUACCGGGCGCGGCCGCCGCGCGUCCUGGAGCGCUCGGGCUUCCACAACGAGAACUCGCUCGCCAUCUACCAGGGCCUGGUCUACUACCUGCUGUGGCUGCACUCCGUGUACGACAAGCCGUACGCGGACCCGGUGCACGACCCCACCUGGCGCUGGUGGGCGAACAACAAACAAGACCAGGAUUACUACUUCUUCCUGGCGAGCAACUGGCGAAGCGCGGGCGGCGUGUCCAUAGAAAUGGACAGCUACGAAAAGAUCUACAACCUCGAGUCCGCGUACGAGCUGCCGGAGCGCAUUUUCCUGGACAAGGGCACUGAGUACAGCUUCGCCAUCUUCCUGUCGGCGCAGGGCCGCUCGUUCCGGACGCAGGCAGAACUCGGCACCGUCUUCCAGCUGCAUAGCCAGGUGGACGUGGGCGUGGUGCUGGCCGACCCCGGCUGCAUCGAGGCCUCGGUGAAGCAGGAGGUCCUGAUUAAUCGCAACUCGGUGCUAUUUUCGAUUACGCUCAAGGAUAAAAAGCUUUGCUAUGACCAAGGCAUUAGUGGACAUCACCUUAUGAAGACUUCCAUGACGGUCAAUGUGGUGGGUUCAUCCGGGCUCUGCUUCCAGGAAACACACCUGGGGCCCCAUAUGCAAGGCAACCUGAUGGUGCCAGUGUUCAUUGGCUGCCCCCCGGGCAAGCGCCUGGCCUUCGACAUCACCUACACGCUGGAAUACAGCCGCCUGAAGAACAAACACUACUUUGACUGUGUUAACGUGAACCCGGAGAUGCCCUGCUUUCUCUUCCGGGACAUUUUCUACCCCUUCUUCUUGAUUCAAGAUUUGGUGACAGGAGACUCCGGCAGUUUCCAGGGCAGCUACGUUCUGCUGGUGGUGGGUGGCGGGCCCACACUGGACAGCCUCAAGGACUACAGUGAGGACGAAAUCUACCGCUUCAACAGCCCCCUGGACAAGACCAACAGCCUUAUCUGGACCACGAGGACCACAAGGACCACCAAAGACUCAGCCUUUCACAUCAUGUCCCACGAGAGCCCAGGCAUCGAGUGGCUCUGUCUGGAGAAUGCCCCAUGCUAUGACAAUGUUCCCCAAGGCAUCUUUGCCCCUGAAUUCUUCUUCAAGGUGUUGGUGAGCAAUAGGUGAGCCAGAGGAGUGGACACGAGCACCUACUGCAACUACCAGCUCACCUUCCUGCUGCACAUCCACGGGCUGCCACUCAGUCCCAAGCGGGCCCUUUUCAUCCUCAUGGUGUCAGCUAGCGUGUUUGUGGGCCUGGUGAUCUUCUACAUCGCCUUCUGCCUCCUGUGGCCCCUCGUGGUGAAGGGCUGCACGAUGAUCCGGUGGAAGAUAAACAACCUCAUUGCCUCAGAAUCCUACUACACCUACGCCUCCAUUUCCGGAAUCUCGAGCGUGCCGUCUCUGAGACAUUCCAGGAUGGGCUCCAUGUUCAGCUCCAGGAUGACAGAGGACAGGGCUGAACCCAAGGAAGCCGUGGAGAGACAGUUGAUGACCUGAGUGUCCCACCUGCCCCAGCCCCCAGUCACUGUCACGCCUCUCCUAUGAGGCCCAUCUUGAAGAUGCAACCUGUCACCCAGCCCAGGCCUCUCUUUCUGUUUUGCUUGAUGUUUACUUCUUGUUCGACUCAAAUAAAGCCUUUUUGCAGGA